CCAAUAGCGUAUAUUAAAGUUGUUGCAGUUAAAAAGCUCGUAGUUGAACUUCGGGGUUUACUUAUUGGUCAGGCUUAAUUGUCUGUACUGGUGAGAUGAAUCUCUACCUUCUGAGGAACUUUCAUGCCAUUUAUUUGGUGUGAUGGGAAAUCAGGACUGUUACUUUGAAAAAAUUAGAGUGUUUAAAGCAGGCUAACGUCUGAAUACAUUAGCAUGGAAUAAUGAAAUAGGACGGACUGAUUCUAUUUCGUUGGUUUCUAGGAUCACCGUAAUGAUUAAUAGGGAUAGUUGGGGGCAUUAGUAUUCAAUUGUCAGAGGUGAAAUUCUUGGAUUUAUUGAAGACUAACUACUGCGAAAGCAUUUGCCAAGGAUGUUUUCAUUAAUCAAGAACGAAAGUUAGGGGAUCGAAGACGAUCAGAUACCGUCGUAGUCUUAACCAUAAACUAUGCCGACUAGGGAUCGGACGAAGUUAAUUUUAUAAUGACGCGUUCGGCACCUUACG
RNAcentral lists this ribosomal RNA (502 nucleotides) under uncultured Glomeromycotina. Its description in RNAcentral is "partial small subunit ribosomal RNA". It matches the Rfam family "Eukaryotic small subunit ribosomal RNA", at positions 591 to 1092 of the family's 1831-position model. The record is from RNAcentral. Lineage: Eukaryota; Fungi; Glomeromycota.